Malus domestica (apple) is the source of this 129-nucleotide non-coding RNA. NCBI's taxonomy places the organism in Eukaryota, Viridiplantae, Streptophyta, Magnoliopsida, Rosales, Rosaceae. The record is from RefSeq and is a predicted model, not a curated record.
AUUUUUGCGCUUGGAGCAAUGACGCAGCUAAUAAGGUUCUAACCGAGGCACGUCUAUUGCUGGUUGAAAACUAUUUCCAAAUCCCCUCUUAGGCUUGGGUUUGUUAGAGUAUGUAGCCAAAUAAUUAUG